GAUGAACGCUGGCCGCGUGCUUAACACAUGCAAGUCGAACGAUGAAGCCCAGCUUGCUGGGUGGAUUAGUGGCGAACGGGUGAGUAACACGUGAGUAACCUGCCCUUAACUCUGGGAUAAGCCUGGGAAACUGGGUCUAAUACCGGAUAGGAGCGUCCACCGCAUGGUGGGUGUUGGAAAGAUUUAUCGGUUUUGGAUGGACUCGCGGCCUAUCAGCUUGUUGGUGAGGUAAUGGCUCACCAAGGCGACGACGGGUAGCCGGCCUGAGAGGGUGACCGGCCACACGGGGCUUGGGAACCGGCCCAUACUCCUCCGGGGGGAAGGGGGGGGGAAUUUGGCAAAAGGGGCGAAGGCCGUGAUCAGGGCCCCCGGGUGGGGGAAGACGGCCUUCGGGUGGGAACCCUUUUUCAGUAGGAAAGAAGCGAAAGGACCGUGCCCGGCAGAAAAAGCCCCGGUAACUACCGU
This 465-nucleotide ribosomal RNA is filed under the name uncultured bacterium. RNAcentral describes it as "partial 16S ribosomal RNA". It matches the Rfam family "Bacterial small subunit ribosomal RNA", at positions 28 to 506 of the family's 1533-position model. The record is from RNAcentral.